UACGGAGGGUGCAAGCGUUGUCCGGAUUUAUUGGGUUUAAAGGGUGCGUAGGCGGCCCGUUAAGUCCGGGGUGAAAGCCCACAGCUCAACUGUGGAACUGCCCUGGAUACUGGCGGGCUUGAGUCCAGACGAGGUUGGCGGAAUGGAUGGUGUAGCGGUGAAAUGCAUAGAUACCAGCCAGAACCCCGAUUGCGAAGGCAGCUGACUAGGCUGGUACUGACGCUGAGGCACGAAAGCGUGGGGAGCGAACAGG
Molecule: ribosomal RNA, 253 nt
Filed under: uncultured bacterium
Lineage: Bacteria
Description: partial 16S ribosomal RNA
Rfam family: Bacterial small subunit ribosomal RNA
Source: RNAcentral